UGGUAAGUAGUUUAAACAAAACAAAUGAUUUCGACUCAUUAAAUUAUGAUAACCAUACUGACCAA
RNAcentral lists this transfer RNA (65 nucleotides) under Allenopithecus nigroviridis (Allen's swamp monkey). RNAcentral's name for it is "tRNA-Arg". It matches the Rfam family "tRNA". From Rfam's summary of the family: Transfer RNA (tRNA) molecules are approximately 80 nucleotides in length. Lineage: Eukaryota; Metazoa; Chordata; Mammalia; Primates; Cercopithecidae. The record is from RNAcentral.